This 225-nucleotide unclassified non-coding RNA is filed under the name uncultured fungus. RNAcentral's name for it is "sequence contains ITS1". The record is from RNAcentral. Lineage: Eukaryota; Fungi.
GUAAUUAUUAUGUUGUUACUGACGCUGACUGCUAUUGCAAAAGGUUUAUGGGUUGUCCUUGUGGUGGGCGAGCCCACCAAGGAAACAAGAAGUACGCAAAAGACACGGGUGAAUAAUUCAGCAAGGCCGGCCCAACCGCGCACGCCGCGAGGCAGCGCACAGCUGGGGGUAUCCAGUCUGCCUUCUUAUUGUGUAAUGAUCCCUCCGCAGGUUCACCUACGGAGA